Molecule: non-coding RNA, 21 nt
Filed under: Caenorhabditis elegans
Lineage: Eukaryota; Metazoa; Nematoda; Chromadorea; Rhabditida; Rhabditidae
Source: RNAcentral
UUGCCAGAAAAAAAUUGGAAA